UUGAAGUCCCAUACAGGGCAGUGGUGGCCUAAAGGUUAGAGAAGAGUGCUUGUGCCCGGGAGGUCGUCGGUUCAAUCCUCAGACCAACAGAUUACCAUCUGGGUGGGGAAAGUGAAAGAGCAGUGCUUGUCCCUCCCUCAUUACCACCUCUGGGGUGC
This is a long non-coding RNA of Etheostoma cragini (Arkansas darter), 158 nucleotides long. RefSeq lists it as uncharacterized. The record is from RefSeq and is a predicted model, not a curated record. The transcript has 3 exons. NCBI's taxonomy places the organism in Eukaryota, Metazoa, Chordata, Actinopteri, Perciformes, Percidae.